CUCCCAGGGGACUAUCCUGAGCACCCCUCCCAGCAGGCACUGCGGCCCUGACGGGCUGUCCCCGCUCCAGCCCACAGUCGUGAGGGAGGUGGACACAUGAACGGACCCUGGCCGGGGGAGGAAGAGGAGGCCGGCGGCUCAGCCAGGACUGGAAAGGCCUUCCGGAUGCCAGGGUUGAGAGCAGCCCACCUGACUCAGCCCGUGCCACCUGCCAAGAGUGUUGUGAUGAGGAGCGUAACCCAGCUCAGCCGGACACUGAACCAGUUGUUACAAAUGAAAGACCAGGAGGCUCCAUCUCCCGGGAAGAGGGAGGCCAGACCAAUUUACACGGGAACCUGGCUUGAGUCUGAGUUCUGGGGUCAGGACCCUUAUCCUGCCCCACCUGGAGGCUUGCAGGACUGGAAGUACUUGCGGUUUGGGGCCACAACCUGGGGCGGCCCAGUGUUUCGUUGGUUCGAAUCCUGGGCGUGGACAUGGCACUGCUCAUCAAACCACGUUGCGGCGGCAGCCCACAUGCCACAACUAGAAGGACCCACACGAAGAAUAUACAACUAUGUACUGGGGGGCUUUGGGGAGAAAAAG
This 582-nucleotide long non-coding RNA is filed under the name Equus caballus (horse). RNAcentral's name for it is "lncRNA (ENSECAG00000054380.1)". The record is from RNAcentral. Lineage: Eukaryota; Metazoa; Chordata; Mammalia; Perissodactyla; Equidae.